Molecule: long non-coding RNA, 17608 nt
Filed under: Citrus x clementina
Lineage: Eukaryota; Viridiplantae; Streptophyta; Magnoliopsida; Sapindales; Rutaceae
Description: Citrus clementina (C. clementina) long non-coding RNA (CCLE_LNC005906)
Source: RNAcentral
GCCUCCGUGUGCCAAAAUAGGCCACGGGCACACCCGCGCCCAAAAAUCAGCCCCCGAAGGUCGGGGCGCCAAGACCCCCCAGCGGAAAAAUGGCCAAAAAACGGGUGGGCUAUAGCCUUGGUGGGGGGCGUGGGCGAAGUUCGUCCGCCGGACUCGGAAUGGCCCCAGACUUUGCGGGCGGCCUCCGUGUGCCAAAAAUAGGCCACGGGCACACCCGCGCCCAAAAAUCAGCCCCCGAAGGUCGGGGCGCCAAGACCCCCCAGCGGAAAAAUGGCCAAAAAACGGGUGGGCUAUAGCCUUGGUGGGGGGCGUGGGCGAAGUUCGUCCGCCGGACUCGGAAUGGCCCCAGACUUUGCGGGCGGCCUCCGUGUGCCAAAAAUAGGCCACGGGCACACCCGCGCCCAAAAAUCAGCCCCCGAAGGUCGGGGCGCCAAGACCCCCCAGCGGAAAAAUGGCCAAAAAAUGGGUGGGCUAUAGCCUUGGUGGGGGACGUGGGCGAAGUUCGUCCGCCGGACUCGGAAUGGCCCCAGACUUUGCGGGCGGCCUCCGUGUGCCAAAAAUAGGCCACGGGCACACCCGCGCCCAAAAUUAAGCCCCCGAAGGUCGGGGCGCCAAGACCCCCCAGCGGAAAAAUGGCCAAAAAACGGGUGGGCUAUAGCCUUGGUGGGGGGCGUGGGCGAAGUUCGUCCGCCGGACUCGGAAUGGCCCCAGACUUUGCGGGCGGCCUCCGUGUGCCAAAAAUAGGCCACGGGCACACCCGCGCCCAAAAUUCAGCCCCCGAAGGUCGGGGCGCCAAGACCCCCCAGCGGAAAAAUGGCCAAAAAACGGGUGGGCUAUUGCCUUGGUGGGGGGCGUGGGCGAAGUUCGUCCGCCGGACUCGGAAUGGCCCCAGACUUUGCGGGCGGCCUCCGUGUGCCAAAAAUAGGCCACGGGCACACCCGCGCCCAAAAUUCAGCCCCCGAAGGUCGGGGCGCCAAGACCCCCCAGCGGAAAAAUGGCCAAAAAACGGGUGGGCUAUAGCCUUGGUGGGGGGAGUGGGCGAAGUUCGUCCGCCGGACUCGCAAUGGCCCCAGACUUUGCGGGCGGCCUCCGUGUGCCAAAAUUAGGCCACGGGCACACCCGCGCCCAAAAAUCAGCCCCCGAGGGUCGGGGCGCCAAGACCCCCCAGCGGAAAAAUGGCCAGAAAACUGGUGGGCUAUAGCCUUGGUGGGGGGCGUGGGCGAAGUUCGUCCGCCGGACUCGGAAUGGCCCCAGACUUUGCGGGCGGCCUCCGUGUGCCAAAAAUAGGCCACGGGCACACCCGCGCCCAAAAAUCAGCCCCCGAAGGUCGGGGCGCCAAGACCCCCCAGCGGAAAAAUGGCCAAAAAAUGGGUGGGCUAUAGCCUUGGUGGGGGACGUGGGCGAAGUUCGUCCGCCGGACUCGGAAUGGCCCCAGACUUUGCGGGCGGCCUCCGUGUGCCAAAAAUAGGCCACGGGCACACCCGCGCCCAAAAUUAAGCCCCCGAAGGUCGGGGCGCCAAGACCCCCCCGCGGAAAAAUGGCCAAAAAACGGGUGGGCUAUAGCCUUGGUGGGGGGCGUGGGCGAAGCUCGUCCGCCGGACACGGAAUGGCCCCAGACUUUGCGGGCGGCCUCCGUGUGCCAAAAAUAGGCCACGGGCACACCCGCGCCCAAAAUUCAGCCCCCGAAGGUCGGGGCGCCAAGACCCCCCAGCGGAAAAAUGGCCAAAAAACGGGUGGGCUAUAGCCUUGGUGGGGGGCGUGGGCGAAGUUCGUCCGCCGGACUCGGAAUGGCCCCAGACUUUGCGGGCAGCCUCCGUGUGCAAAAAAUAGGCCACGGGCACACCCGCGCCCAAAAAUCAGCCCCCGAAGGUCGGGGCGCCAAGACCCCCCAGCGGAAAAAUGGCCAAAAAACGGGUGGGCUAUAGCCUUGGUGGGGGGCGUGGGCGAAGUUCGUCCGCCGGACUCGCAAUGGCCCCAGACUUUGCGGGCGGCCUCCGUGUGCCAAAAAUAGGCCACGGGCACACCCGCGCGCAAAAUUCAGCCCCCGAAGGUCGGGGCGCCAAGACCCCCCAGCGGAAAAAUGGCCAAAAAACGGGUGGGCUAUAGCCUUGGUGGGGGGCGUGGGCGAAGUUCGUCCGCCGGACUCGGAAUGGCCCCAGACUUUGCGGGCGGCCUCCGUGUGCCAAAAAUAGGCCACGGGCACACCCGCGCCCAAAAUUCAGCCCCCGAAGGUCGGGGCGCCAAGACCCCCCAGCGGAAAAAUGGCCAAAAAACGGGUGGGCUAUAGCCUUGGUGGGGGGCGUGGGCGAAGUUCGUCCGCCGGACUCGGAAUGGCCCCAGACUUUGCGGGCGGCCUCCGUGUGCCAAAAAUAGGCCACGGGCACACCCGCGCCCAAAAAUCAGCCCCCGAAGGUCGGGGCGCCAAGACCCCCCAGCGGAAAAAUGGCCAAAAAACGGGUGGGCUAUAGCCUUGGUGGGGGGCGUGGGCGAAGUUCGUCCGCCGGACUCGGAAUGGCCCCAGACUUUGCGGGCGGCCUCCGUGUGCCAAAAAUAGGCCACGGGCACACCCGCGCCCAAAAUUCAGCCCCCGAAGGUCGGGGCGCCAAGACCCCCCAGCGGAAAAAUGGCCAAAAAACGGGUGGGCUAUAGCCUUGGUGGGGGGCGUGGGCAAAGUUCGUCCGCCGGACUCGCAAUGGCCCCAGACUUUGCGGGCGGCCUCCGUGUGCCAAAAAUAGGCCACGGGCACACCCGCGCCCAAAAUUCAGCCCCCGAAGGUCGGGGCGCCAAGACCCCCCAGCGGAAAAUUGGCCAAAAAACGGGUGGGCUAUAGCCUUGGUGGGCGGCGUGGGCGAAGUUCGUCCGCGGGACUCGGAAUGGCCCCAGACUUGGCGGGCGGCCUCCGUGUGCCAAAAAUAGGCCACGGGCACAGCCGCGCCCAGAAAUCAGCCCCCGAAGGUCGGGGUCCCAAGACCCCCCAGCGGAAAAAUUGCCAAAAAACGGGUGGGCUAUAGCCUUGGUGGGGGGCGUGGGCGAAAUUCGUCCGCCGGACUCGGAAUGGCCCCAGACUUGGCGGGCGGCCUCCGUGUGCGAAAAAUAGGCCACGGGCACAGGCGCACCCAAAAAUCAGCCGCCGAAGGUCGGGGUCCCAAGACCCCCCAGCGGAAAAAUGGCCAAAAAACGGGUGGGCUAUGGCCUUGGUGGGGGGCGUGGGCGAAGUUCGUCCGCCUGACUCGGAAUGGCCCCAGACUUGGCGGGCGGCCUCCGUGUGCCAAAAAUCGGCCACGGGCACAGCCGCGCCCAAAAAUCUGCCCCUGAAGUCGGGGUCCCAAGACCCCCCAGCGGAAAAAUGGCCAAAAAACGGGUGGGCUAUAGCCUUGGUGGGCGGCGUAGGCGAAGUUCGUCCGCGGGACUCAGAAUGGCCCCAGACUUGGCGGGCGCCCUCCGUGUGCCAAAAAUAGGCCACAGGCACAGCCGCGCCCAAAAAUCAGCCCCCGAAGGUCGGGGUCCCAAGACCCCCCAGCGGAAAAAUGGCCAAAAAACGGGUGGGCUAUAGCCUUGGUGGGGGGCGUGGGCGAAGUUCGUCCGCCGGACUCGGAAUGGCCCCAGACUUGGCGGGCGGCCUCCGUGUGCCAAAAAUAGGCCACGGGCACAGGCGCGCCCAAAAAUCAGCCCCCGAAGGUCGGGGUCCCAAGACCCCCCAACGGAAAAAUGGCCAAAAAACGGGUGGGCUAUAGUCUUGGUGGGGGGCGUGGGCGAAGUUCGUCCGCCGGACUCGGAAUGGCCUCAGACUUGGCGGGCGGCCUCCGUGUGCCAAAAGUAGGCCACGGGCACAGCCGCGCCCAAAAAUCAGCCCCCGAAGUUGGGGUCCCAAGACCCCCCAACGGAAAAAUGGCCAAAAAACGGGUGGGCUAUAGCCUUGGUGGGGGGCGUGGGCGAAGUUCGUCCGCCGGACUCGGAAUGGCCUCAGACUUGGCGGGCGGCCUCCGUGUGCCAAAAGUAGGCCACGGGAACAGCCGCGCCCAAAAAUCAGCCCCCGAAGUUGGGGUCCCAAGACCCCCCAGCGGAAAAAUGGCCAAAAAACGGGUGGGCUAUAGCCUUGGUGGGCGGCGUGGGCGAAGUUCGUCCGCGGGACUCAGAAUGGCCCCAGACUUGGCGAGCGGCCUCCGUGUGCCAAAAAUAGGCCACGGGCACAGCCGUGCCCAAAAAUCAGCCCCCGAAGGUCGGGGUCCCAAGACCCCCCAUUGGAAAAAUGGCCAAAAAAUGGGUGGGCUAUAGCCUUGGUGGGAGGCGUGGGCGAAGUUCGUCCGCCGGACUCGGAAUGGCCCCAGACUUGGCGGGCGGCCUCCGUGUGCCAAAAAUAGGCCACGGGCACAGGCGUGCCCAAAAAUCAGCCCCUGAAGGUCGGGGUCCCAAGACUCCCGAGCGGAAAAAUGGCCAAAAAACGGUUGGGCUAUAGCCUUGGUGGGGGGCGUGGGCGAAGUUCGUCCGCCGGACUCGGAAUGGCCCUAGACUUGGCGGGCGGCCUACGUGUGCCAAAAAUAGGCCACGGGCACAACCGCGCCCAAAAAUCAGCCCCCAAAGGUCGGGGUCCCAAGACCCCCCAGUAGAAAAAUGGCAAAAAAACGGGUGGGCUAUAGCCUUGGUGGGCGGCGUGGGCGAAGUUCGUCCGCGGGACUCGGAAUGGCACCAGACUUGGCGGGCGGCCUCCGUGUGCCAAAAAUAGGCCACGGGCACAGCGGCACCCAAAAAUCAGCCCCCGAAGGUCGGGGUCCCAAGACCCCCCAGCGGAAAAAUGGCCAAAAAACGGGUGGGCUAUAGCCUAUGUGGGGGGCGUGGGCGAAGUUCGUCCGCCAGACUCGGAAUGGCUCCAGACUUGGCGGGUGGCCUCCGUGUGCUAAAAAUAGGCCACGGGCACAGGCGCGCCCAAAAAUCAGCCCCCGAAGGUCGGGGUCCCAAGACCCCCCAACGGAAAAAUGGCCAAAAAACGGGUGGGCUAUAGCCUUGGUGGGGGGCGUGGGCGAAGUUUGUCCGCCGGACUCGGAAUGGCCUCAGACUUGGCGGGCGGCCUCCGUGUGCCAAAAGUAGGCCACGGGCACAGCCGCGCCCAAAAAUCAGCCCCCGAAGUUGGGGUCCCAAGACCCCCCAGCGGAAAAAAGGCCAAAAAACGGGUGGGCUAUAGCCUUGGUGGGCGGCGUGGGCGAAGUUCGUCCGCGGGACUCAGAAUGGCCCCAGACUUGGCGGGCGGCCUCCGUGUGCCAAAAAUAUGCCACGGGCACAGCCGCGCCCAAAAAUCAGCCCCCGAAGGUCGGGGUCCCAAGACCCCCCAGCGGAAAAAUGAGCAAAAAACGGGUGGGCUAUAGCCUUGGUUGGGGGCGUGGGCGAAGUUCGUCCGCCGGACUCGGAAUGGCCCCAGACUUGGCGGCCGGCCUCCGUGUGCCAAAAAUAGGCCACGGGCACAGGCGCGCCCAAAAAUCAGCCCCCGAAAGUCGGGGUCCCAAGACCCCCCAGCGGAAAAAUGGCCAAAAAACGGGUUGGCUAUAGCCUCGGUGGGGGGCGCGGGCGAAGUUCGUCCGCGGGACUCGGAAUGGCAGCAGACUUGGCGGGCGGCCUCCGUGUGCCAAAAAUAGGCCACGGGCACAGCCGCGCCCAAAAAUCAGCCCCCGAAGGUCGGGGUCCCAAGACCCCCCAGCGGAAAAAUGGCCAAAAAACGGGUGGGCUAUAGCCUUGGUGGGGGGCGUGGGGGAAGUUCGUCCCCCGGUCUCGGAAUGGCCCCAGACUUGGCGAGCGGCCUCCGUGUGCCAAAAAUAGGCCACGGGUACAGCCGUGCCCAAAAAUCAGCCCCCGAAGGUCGGGGUCCCAAGACCCCCAACCGGAAAAAUGGCCAAAAAACGGGUGGGCUAUAGCCUUGGUGGGGGGCGUGGGCGAAGUUCGUCCGCCGGACUCGGAAUGGCCCCUGACUUGGCGGACGGCCUCCGUGUGCCAAAAAUAGGCCACGGGCACAGGCGCGCCCAAAAAUCAGCCCCCGAAGGUCGGGGUGCCAAGACCCCCCAGCGGAAAAUGGCCAAAAAACGGGUGGGCUAUAGCCUUGGUGGGGGGCUUGGGCGAAGUUCGUCCGCCUGACUCGGAAUGGCCCCAGACUAGGCGGGCGGCCUCCGUGUGCCAAAAAUAGGCCACGGGCACAGCCGCGCCCAAAAAUCAGCCCCCGAAGGUCGGGGUCCCAAGACACCCCAGCGGAAAAAUGAGCAAAAAACGGGUGGGCUAUAGCCUUGGUGGGGGGCGUGGGCGAAGUUCGUCCGCCGGACUCGGAAUGGCCCCAGACUUGGCGGGCGGCCUCCGUGUGCCAAAAAUAGGCCACGGGCACAGGCGCGCCCAAAAAUCAGCACCCGAAAGUCGGGGUCCCAAGACCCCCCAGCGGAAAAAUGGCCAAAAAAUGGGUUGGCUAUAGCCUUGGUGGGGGGCGCGGGCGAAGUUCGUCCGCGGGACUCGGAAUGGCACCAGACUUGGCGGGCGGCCUCCGUGUGCCAAAAAUAGGCCACGGGCACAGCCGCGCCCAAAAAUCAGCCCACGAAAGUCGGGGUUCCAAGACCCCCCAGCGGAAAAAUGGCCAAAAAAUGGGUGGGCUAUAGCCUUGGUGGGGUGCGUGGGCGAAGUUCGUCUGCGGGACUCGGAAUGGCACCAGACUUGGCGGGCGGCCUCCGUGUGCCAAAAAUAGGCCACGGGCACAGCCGCGCCCAAAAAUCAGCCCCCGAAGGUCGGGGUCCCAAGACCCCCCAGCGGAAAAAUGAGCAAAAAACGGGUGGGCUAUAGCCUUGGUGGGGGGCGUGGGCGAAGUUCGUCCGCCGGACUCGGAAUGGCCCCAGACUUGGCGGCCGGCCUCCGUGUGCCAAAAAUAGGCCACGGGCACAGGCGCGCCCAAAAAUCAGCCCCCGAAAGUCGGGGUCCCAAGACCCCCCAGCGGAAAAAUGGCCAAAAAACGGGUUGGCUAUAGCCUUGGUGGGGGGCGCGGGCGAUGUUCGUCCGCGGGACUCGGAAUGGCACCAGACUUGGCGGGCGGCCUCCGUGUGCCAAAAAUAGGCCACGGGCACAGCCGCGCCCAAAAAUCAGCCCACGAAAGUCGGGGUUCCAAGACCCCCCAGCGGAAAAAUGGCCAAAAAAUGGGUGGGCUAUAGCCUUGGUGGGGUGCGUGGGCGAAGUUCGUCUGCGAGACUCGGAAUGGCACCAGACUUGGCGGGCGGCCUCCGUGUGCCAAAAAUAGGCCACGGGCACAGCCGCGCCCAAAAAUCAGCCCCCGAAGGUCGGGGUCCCAAGACCCCCCAGCGGAAAAAUGGCCAAAAAACGGGUGGGCUAUAGCCUUGGUGGGGGGCGUGGGGGAAGUUCGUCCCCCGGACUCGGAAUGGCCCCAGACUUGGCGGGCGGCCUCCGUGUGCCAAAAAUAGGCCACGGGUACAGCCGUGCCCAAAAAUCAGCCCCCGAAGGUCGGGGUCCCAAGACCCCCAACCGGAAAAAUGGCCAAAAAACGGGUGGGCUAUAGCCUUGGUGGGGGGCGUGGGCGAAGUUCGUCCGCCGGACUCGGAAUGGCCCCUGACUUGGCGGACGGCCUCCGUGUGCCAAAAAUAGGCCACGGGCACAGGCGCGCCCAAAAAUCAGCCCCCGAAGGUCGGGGUGCCAAGACCCCCCAGCGGAAAAUGGCCAAAAAACGGGUGGGCUAUAGCCUUGGUGGGGGGCUUGGGCGAAGUUCGUCCGCCUGACUCGGAAUGGCCCCAAACUAGGCGGGCGGCCUCCGUGUGCCAAAAAUAGGCCACGGGCACAGCCGCGCCCAAAAAUCAGCCCCCGAAGGUCGGGGUCCCAAGACACCCCAGCGGAAAAAUGAGCAAAAAACGGGUGGGCUAUAGCCUUGGUGGGGGGCGUGGGCGAAGUUCGUCCGCCGGACUCGGAAUGGCCCCAGACUUGGCGGGCGGCCUCCGUGUGCCAAAAAUAGGCCACGGGCACAGGCGCGCCCAAAAAUCAGCACCCGAAAGUCGGGGUCCCAAGACCCCCCAGCGGAAAAAUGGCCAAAAAACGGGUUGGCUAUAGCCUUGGUGGGGGGCGCGGGCGAAGUUCAUCCGCGGGACUCGGAAUGGCACCAGACUUGGCGGGCGGCCUCCGUGUGCCAAAAAUAGGCCACGGGCACAGCCGCGCCCAAAAAUCAGCCCACGAAAGUCGGGGUUCCAAGACCCCCCAGCGGAAAAAUGGCCAAAAAAUUGUUGGGCUAUAGCCUUGGUGGGGUGCGUGGGCGAAGUUCAUCUGCGGGACUCGGAAUGGCACCAGACUUGGCGGGCGGCCUCCGUGUGCCAAAAAUAGGCCACGGGCACAGCCGCGCCCAAAAAUCAGCCCCCGAAGGUCGGGGUCCCAAGACACCCCAGCGGAAAAAUGAGCAAAAAACGGGUGGGCUAUAGCCUUGGUGGGGGGCGUGGGCGAAGUUCGUCCGCCGGACUCGGAAUGGCCCCAGACUUGGCGGCCGGCCUCCGUGUGCCAAAAAUAGGCCACGGGCACAGGCGCGCCCAAAAAUCAGCACCCGAAAGUCGGGGUCCCAAGACCCCCCAGCGGAAAAAUGGCCAAAAAACGGGUUGGCUAUAGCCUUGGUGGGGGGCGCGGGCGAAGUUCGUCCGCGGGACUCGGAAUGGCACCAGACUUGGCGGGCGGCCUCCGUGUGCCAAAAAUAGGCCACGGGCACAGCCGCGCCCAAAAAUCAGCCCACGAAAGUCGGGGUUCCAAGACCCCCCAGCGGAAAAAUGGCCAAAAAAUGGGUGGGCUAUAGCCUUGGUGGGGUGCGUGGGCGAAGUUCGUCUGCGGGACUCGGAAUGGCACCAGACUUGGCGGGCGGCCUCCGUGUGCCAAAAAUAGGCCACGGGCACAGCCGCGCCCAAAAAUCAGCCCCCGAAGUUGGGGUCCCAAGACCCCCCAGCGGAAAAAUGGCCAAAAAACGGGUGGGCUAUAGCCUUGGUGGGCGGCGUGGGCGAAGUUCGUCCGCGGGACUCGGAAUGGCCCCAGACUUGGCGGGCGGCCUCCGUGUGCCAAAAAUAGGCCACGGGCACAGCCGCGCCCAGAAAUCAGCCCCCGAAGGUCGGGGUCCCAAGACCCCCCAGCGGAAAAAUUGCCAAAAAACGGGUGGGCUAUAGCCUUGGUGGGGGGCGUGGGCGAAGUUCAUCCGCCGGACUCGGAAUGGCCCCAGACUUGGCGGGCGGACUCCGUGUGCCAAAAAUAGGCCACGGGCACAGGCGCACCCAAAAAUCAGCCGCCGAAGGUCGGGGUCCCAAGACCCCCCAGCGGAAAAAUGGCCAAAAAACGGGUGGGCUAUGGCCUUGGUGGGGGGCGUGGGCGAAGUUCGUCCGCCUGACUCGGAAUGGCCCCAGACUUGGCGGGCGGCCUCCGUGUGCCAAAAAUCGGCCACGGGCACAGCCGCGCCCAAAAAUCUGCCCCCGAAGUCGGGGUCCCAAGACCCCCCAGCGGAAAAAUGGCCAAAAAACGGGUGGGCUAUAGCCUUGGUGGGCGGCGUAGGCGAAGUUCGUCCGCGGGACUCAGAAUGGCCCCAGACUUGGCGGGCGCCCUCCGUGUGCCAAAAAUAGGCCACAGGCACAGCCGCGCCCAAAAAUCAGCCCCCGAAGGUCGGGGUCCCAAGACCCCCCAGCGGAAAAAUGGCCAAAAAACGGGUGGGCUAUAGCCUUGGUGGGGGGCGUGGGCGAAGUUCGUCCGCCGGACUCGGAAUGGCCCCAGACUUGGCGGGCGGCCUCCGUGUGCCAAAAAUAGGCCACGGGCACAGGCGCGCCCAACAAUCAGCCCCCGAAGGUCGGGGUCCCAAGACCCCCCAACGGAAAAAUGGCCAAAAAACGGGUGGGCUAUAGUCUUGGUGGGGGGCGUGGGCGAAGUUCGUCCGCCGGACUCGGAAUGGCCUCAGACUUGGCGGGCGGCCUCCGUGUGCCAAAAGUAGGCCACGGGCACAGCCGCGCCCAAAAAUCAGCCCCCGAAGUUGGGGUCCCAAGACCCCCCAACGGAAAAAUGGCCAAAAAACGGGUGGGCUAUAGCCUUGGUGGGGGGCGUGGGCGAAGUUCGUCCGCCGGACUCGGAAUGGCCUCAGACUUGGCGGGCGGCCUCCGUGUGCCAAAAGUAGGCCACGGGAACAGCCGCGCCCAAAAAUCAGCCCCCGAAGUUGGGGUCCCAAGACCCCCCAGCGGAAAAAUGGCCAAAAAACGGGUGGGCUAUAGCCUUGGUGGGCGGCGUGGGCGAAGUUCGUCCGCGGGACUUAGAAUGGCCCCAGACUUGGCGCGCGGCCUCCGUGUGCCAAAAAUAGGCCACGGGCACAGCCGCGCCCAAAAAUCAGCCCCCGAAGGUCGGGGUCCCAAGACCCCCCAUUGGAAAAAUGGCCAAAAAAUGGGUGGGCUAUAGCCUUGGUGGGAGGCGUGGGCGAAGUUCGUCCGCCGGACUCGGAAUGGCCCCAGACUUGGCGGGCGGCCUCCGUGUGCCAAAAAUAGGCCACGGGCACAGGCGUGCCCAAAAAUCAGCCCCUGAAGGUCGGGGUCCCAAGACUCCCGAGCGGAAAAAUGGCCAAAAAACGGUUGGGCUAUAGCCUUGGUGGGGGGCGUGGGCGAAGUUCGUCCGCCGGACUCGGAAUGGCCCUAGACUUGGCGGGCGGCCUACGUGUGCCAAAAAUAGGCCACGGGCACAACCGCGCCCAAAAAUCAGCCCCCGAAGGUCGGGGUCCCAAGACCCCCCAGUAGAAAAAUGGCAAAAAAACGGGUGGGCUAUAGCCUUGGUGGGCGGCGUGGGCGAAGUUCGUCCGCGGGACUCGGAAUGGCACCCGACUUGGCGGGCGGCCUCCGUGUGCCAAAAAUAGGCCACGGGCACAGCGGCACCCAAAAAUCAGCCCCCGAAGGUCGGGGUCCAAAGACCCCCCAGCGGAAAAAUGGCCAAAAAACGGGUGGGCUAUAGCCUAUGUGGGGGGCGUGGGCGAAGUUCGUCCGCCAGACUCGGAAUGGCUCCAGACUUGGCGGGUGGCCUCCGUGUGCUAAAAAUAGGCCACGGGCACAGGCGCGCCCAAAAAUCAGCCCCCGAAGGUCGGGGUCCCAAGACCCCCCAGCGGAAAAAUGGCCAAAAAACGGGUGGGCUAUAGCCUUGGUGGGCGGCGUGGGCGAAGUUCGUCCGCGGGACUCAGAAUGGCCCCACACUUGGCGGGCGGCCUCCGUGUGCCAAAAAUAGGCCACGGGCACAGCCACGCCCAAAAAUCAGCCCCCGAAGGUCGGGGUCCCAAGACCCCCCAUUGGAAAAAUGGCCAAAAAAUGGGUGGGCUAUAGCCUUGGUGGGAGGCGUAGGCGAAGUUCGUCCGCCGGACUCGGAAUGGCCCCAGACUUGGCGGGCGGCCUCCGUGUGCCAAAAAUAGGCCACGGGCACAGCGGCACCCAAAAAUCAGCCCCCGAAGGUCGGGGUCCCAAGACCCCCCAGCGGAAAAAUGGCCAAAAAACGGGUGGGCUAUAGCCUAUGUGGGGGGCGUGGGCGAAGUUCGUCCGCCAGACUCGGAAUGGCUCCAGACUUGGCGGGCGGCCUCCGUGUACUAAAAAUAGGCCACGGGCACAGGCGCGCCCAAAAAUCAGCCCCCGAAGGUCGGGGUCCCAAGACCCCCCAACGGAAAAAUGGCCAAAAAACGGGUGGGCUAUAGCCUUGGUGGGGGGCGUGGGCGAAGUUCGUCCGCCGGACUCGGAAUGGCCUCAGACUUGGCGGGCGGCCUCCGUGUGCCAAAAGUAGGCCACGGGCACAGCCGCGCCCAAAAAUCAGCCCCCGAAGUUGGGGUCCCAAGACCCCCCAGCGGAAAAAUGGCCAAAAAACGGGUGGGCUAUAGGCUUGGUGGGCGGCGUGGGCGAAGUUCGUCCGCGGGACUCAGAAUGGCCCCAGACUUGGCGGGCGGCCUCCGUGUGCCAAAAAUAGGCCACGGGCACAGCCGCGCCCAAAAAUCAGCCCCCGAAGGUCGGGGUUCCAAGACCCCCCAGCGGAAAAAUGGCCAAAAAAUGGGUGGUCUAUAGCCUUGGUGGGGGGUGUGGGCGAAGUUCGUCCGCGGGACUCGGAAUGGCACCAGACUUGGCGGGCAGCCUCCGUGUGCCAAAAAUAGGCCACGGGCACAGCCGCGCUCAAAAAUCAGCCCCCGAAGGUCGGGGUCCCAAGACCCCCCAGCGGAAAAAUGGCCAAAAAAUGGGUGGGUUAUUGCCUUGGUGGGCGGCGUGGGUGAAGUUCGAACGCCGGACUCGGAAUGGCCCCAGACUUGGCGGGCGGCCUCCGUGUGCCAAAAAUUGGCCACGGGCACAGCCGCGCCCAAAAAUCAGCCCCCGAAGGUCGGGGUCCCAAGACCCCCCAUUGGAAAAAUGGCCAAAAAAUGGGUGGGCUAUAGCCUUGGUGGGAGGCGUGGGCGAAGUUCGUCCGCCGGACUCGGAAUGGCCCCAGACUUGGCGGGCGGCCUCCGUGUGCCAAAAAUAGGCCACGGGCACAGGCGCGCCCAAAAAUCAGCCCCCGAAGGUCGGGGUCCCAAGACCCCCCAACGGAAAAAUGGCCAAAAAACGGGUGGGCUAUAGCCUUGGUGGGGGGCGUGGGCGAAGUUCGUCCGCCGGACUCGGAAUGGCCUCAGACUUGGCGGGCGGCCUCCGUGUGCCAAAAGUAGGCCACGGGCACAGCCGCGCCCAAAAAUCAGCCCCCGAAGGUUGGGGUCCCAAGACCCCCCAGCGUAAAAAUGGCCAAAAAAAGGGUGGGCUAUAGCCUUGGUGGGGGGCGUGGGCGAAGUUCGUCCGCGGGACUCGGAAUGGCCCCAGACUUGGCGGGCGGCCUCCGUGUGCAAAAAAUAGGCCACGGGCACAGGCGCGCCCAAAAAUCAGCCCCCGAAGGUCGGGGUCCCAAGACCCCCCAGCGGAAAAAUGGCCAAAAAACGGGUGGGCUAUAGCCUAUGUGGGGGUCGUGGGCGAAGUUCGUCCGCCGGACUCGGAAUGGCCCCAGACUUGGUGGGCGGCCUCCGUGUGCCCAAAAUAGACCACGGACACAGCCGCGCCCAAAAAUCAGCGACCGAAGGUCGGGGUCCCAAGACCCCCCAGCAGAAAAAUGGCCAAAAAACGGGUGGGCUAUAGCCUUGGUGGGGGGCGUGGGCGAAGUUCGUCCGCGGGACUCGGAAUGACACCAGACUUGGCGGGCGGCCUCCGUGUGCCAAAAAUAGGCCACGGGCACAGCCGCGCCCAAAAAUCAGCCCCCGAAGGUCGGGAUCCCAAGACCCCCCAGCGGAAAAAUGGCCAAAAAAUGGGUGGGUUAUAGCCUUGGUGGGCGGCGUGGGCGAAGUUUCUCCGCGGGACUCAGAAUGGCCCCAGACUUGGCGGGCGGCCUCCGUGUACAAAAAAUAGGACACGGGCACAGCCGUGCCCAAAAAUCAGCCCCCGAAGGUCGGGGUCCCAAUACCCCCCAGUGGAAAAAUGGCCAAAAAACGGGUGGGCUAUAGCCUUGGUGGGGGGCGUGGGCGAAGUUCGUCCGCCGGACUCGGAAUGGCCCCAGACUUGGCGGGCGGCCUNNNNNNNNNNNNNNNNNNNNNNNNNNNNNNNNNNNNNNNNNNNNNNNNNNNNNNNNNNNNNNNNNNNNNNNNNNNNNNNNNNNNNNNNNNNNNNNNNNNNNNNNNNNNNNNNNNNNNNNNNNNNNNNNNNNNNNNNNNNNNNNNNNNNNNNNNNNNNNNNNNNNNNNNNNNNNNNNNNNNNNNNNNNNNNNNNNNNNNNNNNNNNNNNNNNNNNNNNNNNNNNNNNNNNNNNNNNNNNNNNNNNNNNNNNNNNNNNNNNNNNNNNNNNNNNNNNNNNNNNNNNNNNNNNNNNNNNNNNNNNNNNNNNNNNNNNNNNNNNNNNNNNNNNNNNNNNNNNNNNNNNNNNNNNNNNNNNNNNNNNNNNNNNNNNNNNNNNNNNNNNNNNNNNNNNNNNNNNNNNNNAUCAGGCCCCGAAGUUCGGGGUCCCAAGACCCCCCAGCGGAAAAAUGGCCAAAAAACGGGUGGGCUAUAGCCUAUGUGGGGGGCGUGGGCGAAGUUCGUUCGCCGGACUCGGAAUGGCCCCAGACUUGGUGGGCGGACUCCGUGUGCCAAAAAUAUGCCUCUGGCACAGCCGCUCCCAAAAAUCAGCCCCCGAAGGUCGGGGUCCCAAGACCCCCCAGCGGAAAAAUGGCCAAAAAACGGGUGGGCUAUAGCCUUGGCGGGGGGCGUGGGCGAAGUUCGUCCGCCGGACUCGGAAUGGCACCAGACUUGGCGGGCGGCCUCCGUGUGCCAAAAAUAGGCCACGGGCACAGCCGCGCCCAAAAAUCAGCCCCCGAAGGUCGGGGUCCCAAGACCCCCCAGCGGAAAAAUGGCCAAAAAAUGGGUGGGUUAUAGCCUUGGUGGGCGGCGUGGGUGAUGUUCGUCCGCGGGACUCAGAAUUGCCCCAGACUUGGCGGGCGGCCUCCGUGUGUCAAAAAUAGGACACGGGCACAGCCUUGCCCAAAAAUCAGCCCCCGAAGGUCGGGGUCCCAAGACCCCCCAGCGGAAAAAUGGCCAAAAAACGGGUGGGCUAUAGCCUUGGUGGGGGGCGUGGGCGAAGUUCGUCCGCCGGACUCGGAAUAGCCCCAGGCUUGGCGGGCGGCCUCCGUGUGCCAAAAAUAGGCCACGGGCACAGGCGCGCCCAAAAAUCAGCCCCCGAAGGUCGGGGUCCCAAUACCCCCCAGCGGAAAAAUGGCCAAAAAACGGGUGGGCUAUAGCCUUGGUGGGGGGCGUGGGCGAAGUUCGUCCGCCGGACUCGGAAUGGCCCCAGACUUGGCGGGCGGCCUCCGUGUGCCAAAAAUAGGCCACGGGCACAGCCGCGCCCAAAAAUCAGCCCCCGAAGGUCGGGGUCCCAAGACCCCCCAGCGGAAAAAUGGCCAAGAAAUGGGUGGGCUAUAGCCUUGGUGGGGGGCGUGGGCGAAGUUCGUCCGCGGGACUCGGAAUGGCCCCAGACUUGGCGGGCGGCCUCCGUGUGCCAAAAAUAGGCCACGGGCACAGCCGCGCCCAAAAAUAAGCCCCCGAAGGUCGGGGUCCCAAGACCCCCCAGCGGAAAAAAGGCCAAGAAACGCGUGGGCUAUAGCCUUGGUGGGGGGCGUGGGCGAAGUUCGUCCGCGGGACUCGGAAUGGCCCCAGACUUGGCGGGCGGCCUCCGUGUGCCAAAAAUAGGCCACGGGCACAGCCGCGCCCAAAAAUCAGCCCCCGAAGGUCGGGGUCCCAAGACCCCCCAGCGGAAAAAUGGCCAAGAAACGGGUGGGCUAUAGCCUUGGUGGGGGGCGUGGGCGAAGUUCGUCCGCGGGACUCGGAAUGGCCCCAGACUUGGCGGGCGGCCUCCGUGUGCCAAAAAUAGGCCACGGGCACAGCCGCGCCCAAAAAUCAGCCCCCGAAGGUCGGGGUCCCAAGACCCCCCAGCGGAAAAAAGGCCAAGAAACGCGUGGGCUAUAGCCUUGGUGGGGGGCGUGGGCGAAGUUCGUCCGCGGGACUCGGAAUGGCCCCAGACUUGGCGGGCGGCCUCCGUGUGCCAAAAAUAGGCCACGGGCACAGCCGCGCCCAAAAAUCAGCCCCCGAAGGUCGGGGUCCCAAGACCCCCCAGCGGAAAAAUGGCCAAAAAACGGGUGGGCUAUAGCCUUGGUGGGGGCCGUGGGCGAAGUUCGUCCGCGGGACUCGGAAUGGCCCCAGACUUGGCGGGCAGCCUCCGUGUGCCAAAAAUAGGCCACGGGCACAGCCGCGCCCAAAAAUCAGCCCCCGAAGGUCGGGGUCACAAGACCCCCCAGCGGAAAAAUGGCCAAGAAACGGGUGGGCUAUAGCCUUGGUGGGGGGCGUGGGCGAAGUUCAUCCGCGGGACUCGGAAUGGCCCCAGACUUGGCGGGCGGCCUCCGUGUGCCAAAAAUAGGCCACGGGCACAGCCGCGCCCAAAAAUCAGCCCCCGAAGGUCGGGGUCCCAAGACCCCCCAGCGGAAAAAUGGCCAAGAAACGGGUGGGCUAUAGCCUUGGUGGGGGGCGUGGGCGAAGUUCGUCCGCGGGACUCGGAAUGGCCCCAGUCUUGGCGGGCGGCCUCCGUGUGCCAAAAAUAGGCCACGGGCACAGCCGCGCCCAAAAAUCAGCCCCCGAAGGUCGGGGUCACAAGACCCCCCAGCGGAAAAAAGGCCAAGAAACGCGUGGGCUAUAGCCUUGGUGGGGGGCGUGGGCGAAGUUCGUCCGCGGGACUCGGAAUGGCCCCAGACUUGGCGGGCGGCCUCCGUGUGCCAAAAAUAGGCCACGGGCACAGCCGCGCCCAAAAAUCAGCCCCCGAAGGUCGGGGUCACAAGACCCCCCAGCGGAAAAAAGGCCAAGAAACGCGUGGGCUAUAGCCUUGGUGGGGGGCGUGGGCGAAGUUCGUCCGCGGGACUCGGAAUGGUACCAUACUUGGCGGGCGGCCUCCGUGUGCCAAAAAUAGGCCACGGGCACAGCCGCGCCCAAAAAUCAGCCCCCGAAGGUCGGGGUCACAAGACCCCCCAGCGGAAAAAAGGCCAAGAAACGCGUGGGCUAUAGCCUUGGUGGGGGGCGUGGGCGAAGUUCGUCCGCGGGACUCGGAAUGGCCCCAGACUUGGCGGGCGGCCGCCGUGUGCCAAAAAUAGGCCACGGGCACAGCCGCGCCCAAAAAUCAGCCCCCGAAGGUCGGGGUCCCAAGACCCCCCAGCGGAAAAAUGGCCAAAAAACGGGUGGGCUAUAGCCUUGGUGGGGGGCGUGGGCGAAGUUCGUCCGCGGGACUCGGAAUGGCCCCAGACUUGGCGGGCGGCCUCCGUGUGCCAAAAAUAGGCCACGGGCACAGCCGCGCCCAAAAAUCAGCCCCCGAAGGUCGGGGUCCCAAGACCCCCCAGCGGAAAAAUGGCCAAGAAACGCGUGGGCUAUAGCCUUGGUGGGGGGCGUGGGCGAAGUUCGUCCGCGGGACUCGGAAUGGCCCCAGACUUGGCGGGCGGCCUCCGUGUGCCAAAAAUAGGACACGGGCACAGCCGCGCCCAAAAAUCAGCCCCCGAAGGUCGGGGUCCCAAGACCCCCCAGCGGAAAAAUGGCCAAGAAACGGGUGGGCUAUAGCCUUGGUGGGAGGCGUGGGCGAAGUUCGUCCGCGGGACUCGGAAUGGCCCCAGACUUGGCGGGCGGCCUCCGUGUGCCAAAAAUAGGCCACGGGCACUGCCGCGCCCAAAAAUCAGCCCCCGAAGGUCGGGGUCCCAAGACCCCCCAGCGGAAAAAAGGCCAAGAAACGCGUGGGCUAUAGCCUUGGUUGGGGGCGUGGGCGAAGUUCGUCCGCGGGACUCGGAAUGGCCCCAGACUUGGCGGGCGGCCUCCGUGUGCCAAAAAUAGGCCACGGGCACAGCCGCGCCCAAAAAUCAGCCCCCGAAGGUCGGGGUCCCAUGACCCCCCAGCGGAAAAAUGGCCAAAAAAUGGGUGGGUUAUAGCCUUGGUGGGCAGCGUGGGCGAAGUUCGUCCGCGGGACUCAGAAUGGCCCCAGACUUGGCGGGCGGCCUCCGUGUACCAAAAAUAGGACACGGGCACAGCCGCGCCCAAAAAUCAGCCCCCGAAGGUUGG